Molecule: long non-coding RNA, 2222 nt
Filed under: Solanum tuberosum (potato)
Lineage: Eukaryota; Viridiplantae; Streptophyta; Magnoliopsida; Solanales; Solanaceae
Description: long non-coding RNA (STUB_LNC000362)
Source: RNAcentral
GUUUACAUCCCUACGUUAUUUAAAUAGGGCGAAACGUCGGGAUGACUCAAAAAAUAAUCAAUUAAUUCAAUUUUAAAAGAAUUUUAAGAAAAUAAGAAUUUUAAAAGAGUCGCCACCUAAUUUUAGGAAAAACUAGGAAACCAAUUAAAAAUGUCUACGAAACCAUAAGAUUCUAAGUAAGGGGUUCAAGUUAUUUCGAAGAGAAGGUGUUAGGCAUCCUUCGAAAUCCAUAACUGUAGGUCCCGACUGAAUUCAUUUUUUCAAAUUGAGAAGGAUGUAAAAAUAUUAUACAAAUAUAACAAACAUGCAAUAUACACAAGUAAUAAAGUAAACAAGUAAAUAUGAGAAACGAUCUAAUAUUUGUCUAUCGUCAACAAUAUACAUAAUAAUGAAUAUAAAAUUCAAACUUUAUUCGAAUGGCUUCGAUGAGAAGUGAGUUCGGAGUACCUGUAAAAACACUUAGUAAAAGUGUUAAUACUAAAUAAAUAUGACUAAAAAUAAAUAAAUUAAACAAUAACUUAAAAAUAAACAUCCGUCUUAUUAACAUGAGAGGCCUUAGAAAUCGACGGUAAUUUCUUCAUCGGCCAAUUUUAUUAAACAAAGAAAUAUGAACUUAACUAAAUUUCCGUCUUUGACAAUGUCGAGGCCUCAAAAAUCGACGAAGAAAUUUUUUCAUUGGCCAAUUUUAAUGAACAAAAUAUAUUAACUUAAACUAAAUUUCCGUCUUUUAAAAUGUGGAGGCCUCGAAACCGACGGGGAGUUUUUUCAUUGGCCAAUUUUAAUGAACAAAAUAUAUUAACUUAAACUAAAUUUUCGUCUUUUAAAAGAAGGCUCGAAAACCGACGGGAAGUUUUUUCAUUGGCCAAUUCUAUAUUUUUCAACCACAAAAUGGCACGAAACAAACAAAAGAACAAUGAAGUAUAAACUAUAUAAGAUGCAACAACCUACUAAUGAAACAUAAUAAAAUGAUAAUAAUUAAAUAAUAAACUAACAUACACCUGUAACUUCUUAGAAAAUAAAUAAAUCUAGAAUAAUCUCAUGCAAACUAAAAUAGGAACAUCAAUAUAAAUUAAAUAAACAACCCCAAACAACAAACCAAAAAUAGAAUGGUUAAGAAAAUAAAAGCAAGUAAAUGAUUAAAGAGAGACUAUCCAGAUCAUUAAAAUAAUAUAAACACAAUCACUAAAAAUUAAAGUAACCGCAAAAUUAAUCAAAACAUAGAAAGAAUGAGAAAAUUUGUAAUCAGAUUGUAAUAGCGCAACUUACUGGAAAAAAUUCUUUAAAGGAAAAAAUGCAUGAAAUUAAAAGGAAAUAAAAUUGCAAACAAAAUAAAGCAAACACUAACAAAUUAUCAUAACUUACAAAAUUUCAAAGCAAUAUAAAUCUAUCCAUAAAGAGUAGUAAACAACCCAACAAGAUUAACACAACAAUGAACAAUAAAUAAUCAACCAAAGAAAAUCACUAACCGAAUAAAAUUUCAAGUGAAGAACAAGAAAACAUAAAGGGAAAAAAUGGAGAGGCAGACAAGAAGCAAUCUAACAUCAAAAGUAAUAUUAUUGGAGUUGAACUUGCUGGUCAAAUUUAUUUGUAAAAUAAAGCAAUAUAAACAGAUAAGAAUGAACAGACCCCAUUAACACAUAAACAUUAACAACUCCAAAAUGUAAUAAAAUGAAGAGGAGAUCAAGAUUGGAGUGCUACCAUAGGAAAUAGAGAAUGACGGAGAGGUCACUGGAGGACUGAGGUUCAGAGCUUGGAGCUCGUUUGGUCACUGGAUCUCGCCGACUUUGUCCACCGGAGUUGGUGUCGGCGUUGGUGAAGUGGACCGCUGCUCGCUCCAGUUCAUCAGAGCUAAAGGUCCUCGCCAGAGUUGUUGAGGCAGAGACGAACAGAACCGGGAGAGGGGUUUGGUAUUUGGGGAUUGUUUGAGCUGCUGGGUUUGGGGUCACUUUUGGUCGGAAAUGGGUGUGAUGGUCUUUCCGACAUGGAGUUGACCGGAAAUGGAGAAAGGGAGGGAGAGGUGUGUGGCUUCGCCAGACGGGAGAGAGAACAUGGGGUCUAGUUGUCGUUUUUGGGUCUGGUUUGCUGUUGCUUGGAGAGAGUUGUUGGUUGUUGUUGUUGGCUGUUCUCAGGCGGCUGUUCGGUGAAGGGAAGGAGGAAGGGAGCAACUUUGAGAAUAUGAUAGAAAAUAUCUUAGGUUUCACCUAUCUUGAAAAAUAUUUCCC